UAAUAGGCUUUAAGAAAACUAAGGUUCACCUGUGGACCAGCAACUCUUUUUAUUAAGUGCAGUUGACAUGAAAGCUGUGAUGAAUGCACAUUUGCUCUUUCAUUAAUGAAGCACAGGACAUAUGGAGUAUUGGCUAGAAACAACACUAAGCCAUGAAGCAGCCCUGGUAUUGAAAUAACAGCCAAAAUGCUGCUGUUAACCGGCUCCAGCUAAAGACUGCUGGCAGAUUCCACUGCUGUUUAAGAGCUCAACAACUUCUUAAGUACUUCAUAUCUUUUGAAGUUGUGUAAAAGGGAUUCUGAAACUGAAUGGCAGCAUGAGCCGCCUACAGAUUGAUUUCAUAUAUCAACCUUCACCUUUAAUUGGUCACUUUAUUCUGUUCUUUGAAACACCAGAGAAAACGGAAACAUCAAAACACGCAAGUUGCUUUUGAAGCUAGAAGCCUUUAAACACCUCUGCAUCUGAAGCAGAACGGUAGUGUAUUCUCUGAUUUAUGUAAAUCCAUCAGUCUCCUCCAGUAUAUUUUUCUUCAUGUGUCCAUAGAGCUUCUGCCAAUACCACACUGUGCCGCUAAGACAAGGAUACAAGACAAAAAUCCCUUUGAGUCUCUUUUGAAAAUUCAGAAAAGAUGAGCGUCUUAAGUCUCCAAAAGGGCAUUGAGGUUCAUCAAACUGCAGUUCUCAGCCCUCUGUGAAUAGACACUUUCAUUUGUAAUAGAAAAACUUUGACUUGGCUUGAACUAAGGUUGUAUAUAGACAUUUGAUUUUAUGUAAAUUAACAUUCUCUUUAUUUUUCAUCUAUAAUGUGACGCGUAACACUUUUAAUAGUUUCUCCAUUAGUUUUGUGGCCAAUUGUCCCUGUGAAUUCCUGCACAUUUUGAGCAACACAAGAACAGAAUGGAAUUUUCCACCCUGUGGAUUUGUGUUUGAAAACCAGUGCUUUGUCUCCUGCUUCUGUCUAUCAUGGUCUAAUGACAAAGAGUAAAAGGUCAUGGCAAUUUGUUAUAGUGGUGGUCCUGCAAAAACAAAAACUGAUCAUCAUUUAUAAUCUUAACUGUAAUAAUAAGAAUGAAAAAAAUAAAGUUUAUAAGCUAUAAAAAAAAAAAAAACUAAACAUCUGCUAAAUGCAUAAAUGUAAAUGUAUUACAAACUUCUUGAAAUGUUUACUGCCUUUUCAGGAGGGGGGAUGCAACCAGGAAUCAGUUACAGCAUUAACCAACCGUGAAGUCAUUCUGACAGUAUGUAUGACACCAUUGGUUACCUUCUCUCCUGGCUGAGGUCUCAUCACUGACACGCGGUCAUAUCCUCUCCUAAGCCACACCCACAAGGCAUCCAGUUUCCCCUGGAAGAUCCAAACACAAACACUCAAAGAGAUCAACACUUCAAAGAUUCAAAGCACCCUGGUGCCAAUUUCAAGCUGCAAAACACUUCAUCAACAAAGCAGACAUCAUUUUCAGGAGAAUCUGAAAUUGACUACACAGAGCAGUUCAUACAGACAGAGCCCUAAGAGUGGACUGACACCCAGCAUAAUCCAGAGGAAAGAAGGUGGAAGAGAAAGAGAAAAGGAGUUUGUUUUGUUAGGAAAUGGACCAGCUCUGCAAAGCUCAUCUCCCUUGGGUCAGCUCAGUUCAGAAUCUGGUUUAUAUUAACCCCCCGCUUCCAUCUGAGAGAGACAUUACGAAACAAUACAAGAACUGCUUCCUGGACUGACUGAGACCACCACAACAGCACACGCCGCUUCUUCUGAGCUCCUUCCAGUCUUUCAAUGAAUAAUCACGUCAUUCGUUGUCAGUCAGAUGACCGUACGCAUACCGUAAGCAUGACACCGUACUGGGUUAUAGCUGCUGUGUAUUGUGUUUAUUUGUGAGGACAUACUGGCAUAUGAAGAUUUCCUGCCUUUCCUUGUAUUAAUUCAAAACUUUUACGAUGCCAUCCCUGGCUUAAUUAUACCAGCAUGAAUUUUCCUUCUGGUUCAGGCUGGUUAGAGAUGCUUUUCUUCUUGUCACUGGUUUGCCAGCAAUGACAUGCUGUUCACCAGUAAAGCAUGGUGAAUUAAGCACCACAAAACUGUCAUCAAAUAUAAUAUAAGAUAUGUGACCCAGGACCACAAAA
Molecule: long non-coding RNA, 2111 nt
Organism: Carassius auratus (goldfish)
Lineage: Eukaryota; Metazoa; Chordata; Actinopteri; Cypriniformes; Cyprinidae
Exons: 3
Source: RefSeq, a predicted model, not a curated record